Molecule: microRNA precursor, 103 nt
Filed under: Marmota monax (woodchuck)
Lineage: Eukaryota; Metazoa; Chordata; Mammalia; Rodentia; Sciuridae
Source: RNAcentral
AGUAGAAUAGCUGGGUCAAAUGGUGGUUCCAUUCCAAGUUUUCUGAGGAAUAUACACACUGCUUUCCAUAGUUGUUCCACCAAUUUGCAGUCCCACCAGCAAU